RNAcentral lists this ribosomal RNA (449 nucleotides) under uncultured bacterium. Its description in RNAcentral is "partial 16S ribosomal RNA". It matches the Rfam family "Bacterial small subunit ribosomal RNA", at positions 330 to 795 of the family's 1533-position model. The record is from RNAcentral.
CCCAGACUCCUACGGGAGGCAGCAGUGAGGGAUAUUGCACAAUGGGGGGAACCCUGAUGCAGCGACGCCGCGUGGGUGAAGGAGCGUUUCGGCGCGUAAAGCCCUAUCGGCAGGGAAGAAGGAGGACGGUACCUGACUAAGAAGCCCCGGCUAACUACGUGCCAGCAGCCGCGGUAAUACGUAGGGGGCAAGCGUUAUCCGGAUUUACUGGGUGUAAAGGGGGCGCAGACGGCAGCGCAAGCCAGGAGUGAAAGCCCGGGGCCCAACCCCGGGACUGCUCUUGGGACUGCGCGGCUGGAGUGCAGGAGGGGCAGGCGGAAUUCCUGGUGUAGCGGUGAAAUGCGUAGAUAUCAGGAGGAACACCGGUGGCGAAGGCGGCCUGCUGGACUGCGACUGACGUUGAGGCCCGAAAGCGUGGGGAGCAAACAGGAUUAGAUACCCUCGUAACC